Molecule: ribosomal RNA, 433 nt
Filed under: uncultured bacterium
Lineage: Bacteria
Description: partial 16S ribosomal RNA
Rfam family: Bacterial small subunit ribosomal RNA
Source: RNAcentral
AACGAACGCUGGCGGCAUGCCUAACACAUGCAAGUCGAACGAGACCUUCGGGUCUAGAGGCGCACGGGUGCGUAACGCGUGGGAACCUGCCCUUAGGUUCGGAAUAACUCCCCGAAAGGGGUGCUAAUACCGGAUAAUGUCUUCGGACCAAAGAUUUAUCGCCUUUGGAUGGGCCCGCGUUGGAUUAGCUAGUUGGUAGGGUAAAAGCCUACCAAGGCGACGAUCCAUAGCUGGUCUGAGAGGAUGAUCAGCCACACUGGGACUGGGACACGGCCCAGACUCCUACGGGAGGCAGCAGUGGGGAAUAUUGGACAAUGGGCGAAAGCCUGAUCCAGCAAUGCCGCGUGAGUGAUGAAGGCCUUAGGGUUGUAAAGCUCUUUUACCCGGGAUGAUAAUGACAGUACCGGGAGAAUAAGCUCCGGCUAACUCCGUG